CAUCCUAUUACCUACCAUCUGUCUUUGCCCUGGUCCAGUCCUGAUUCCUUCCAUGUCUGUUGCCUGGAUUUUCAUGCGCCUGCUUCCAGCCUGUUUAUGUUUUUCACCUGCCUGUGUUCCUGUGCCGGGUCGUUUGGAGACAACUUUGGCAGAUAAAAAGUUAAAAGAAUGGUGCCUGAAACUGAGCCCUGAGGGGCUCCACAUGAAGAAAGGAUUAAUGGAAGAUACAUUUCCCCAAUUUAACACAGAAAAUCCACUCUGUCAUGCAGGAUCUGAACCAAUCUAGUGCUGUGUUCCUGAUGCCCACUCACUGCUCUUCUAAAAGCCCAAGAACAGCACAGUCACCCAAGUCAGAAGCUAAACACACUCCAAACAGUUAAAAACUAUGAAAACGGCUGAUUCUUUGAUGUAAAUUUUUUUUCCAAUAUUUGUUGUCGUUUAGGAGAAGAAUUGAAAAUUAUAUCCAACAAAAUCAACAAAUAUGCAUCAACGUGCACUGUACAUUGGUUGAAGUUAUGGUAAAAUAAAUAAAACUGAGAAAUAUG
Long non-coding RNA from Girardinichthys multiradiatus, 545 nucleotides. RefSeq lists it as uncharacterized. The record is from RefSeq and is a predicted model, not a curated record. NCBI's taxonomy places the organism in Eukaryota, Metazoa, Chordata, Actinopteri, Cyprinodontiformes, Goodeidae. The transcript has 2 exons.